RNAcentral lists this ribosomal RNA (478 nucleotides) under uncultured bacterium. RNAcentral describes it as "bacterial SSU rRNA". It matches the Rfam family "Bacterial small subunit ribosomal RNA", at positions 330 to 800 of the family's 1533-position model. The record is from RNAcentral.
UGCGAACUCCUACGGGAGGCAGCAGUGGGGAAUCUUCCGCAAUGGACGAAAGUCUGACGGAGCAACGCCGCGUGAGUGAUGACGGCCUUCGGGUUGUAAAGCUCUGUUAAUCGGGACGAAAGGCCUUCUUGCGAAUAGUUAGGAGGAUUGACGGUACCGGAAUAGAAAGCCACGGCUAACUACGUGCCAGCAGCCGCGGUAAUACGUAGGUGGCAAGCGUUGUCCGGAAUUAUUGGGCGUAAGGCGCGCGCAGGCGGAUCAGUCAGUCUGUCUUAAAAGUUCGGGGCUUAACCCCGUGAGGGGAUGGAAACUGCUGAUCUAGAGUAUCGGAGAGGAAAGUGGAAUUCCUAGUGUAGCGGUGAAAUGCGCAGAUAUUAGGAAGAACACCAGUGGCGAAGGCGACUUUCUGGACGAAAACUGACGCUGAGGCGCGAAAGCCAGGGGAGCGAACGGGAUUAGAAACCCCGGUAGUCCUAUC